UCGGGGUGCCCGCCCUCUGAUCUUCAGAGAACGGCUGGCGGGGGAGCCCGGGCCUGCUUCUGCUUCUCACAGAUAUGGGUGGGCUCCUGAUGCGGCGAUGUCCUCAGCCUUCUGCUCAGCCUUGCCACCUCCAGCGUUUCAGCAUUUCCCCAGCUGAGGGAACGCUCCCCAGGAGGGCACUGAGUAUGGGAUGAAACCUCUUCCUAAACCCAUAUCCACGAACUGCCUGUCAGGGCUGCACGUUUCCGAGCCCUCAUCCCUCCAAGGCUGUGCAUCGAAGCUCCGAAGAAGAGGCUGUCCCGAGCCUUCUACCUGGGAGGAGGCAGAGUGCAACGAGGAAACGCACUGAUCUGGGAGUACUAAGUCAUGCAGUCAUUCAUUCAUCCCUUCAUUCUCUAACAAGCGCUUGAUUGCUUACGCGCGCUAAGCUCUGCGUUAGGGGCUGUGGCUCAAGGGUGAACGAGACGCAGUCCAUGGCUUCACGGAGCUCUUACUGUGGCAGAUGAAAGACGCUGAAAAAUGGCUCUGAAGUGUCUACGUGGGAGAGAACAGGGGCUUCCGUCUGGUUUUAAGAGAGAAAGGGAGAGGCGUAGAGAUUUAUCUCGAGUGGUAAACUGGUUCGGCAGGAGUCCCGAGGGGCCUCCCUGGCUCCAGAAGCCACUCCGUGUAGGGCAGGAGGCCAGUCUGCUGGGUUUCACCCGCCCCCACCUGAGGGGCGUCCUCCUCGGAAGCUCCCCCGGCUCACCAGAGGCGGCGUUUCCUCCAAGGGACAGUCGAGCUUCUGGAAGGUUUUCUUGUUCCCGGGACUGCCGUCAAUUUCAUUUCUGUUGUGAUUACUCUGACUUAAUGAAUUCUCGCCCAUUGAUUUUUGUUGAUUUUUUUAAAAGUAAGUUUGGAAACAGCAACCUGUGGUUAGACAAACAUGAAUUUUUUAUAACUCGGUGAAUCCGUAUUAAUGGAACCUGUGGACGUGAUGAAUCAACAUGACGUGUGCUGGUGGCACCUCUGAACAGGAGUUGUGCCUGGCGCUUACUUAAAUUUUGUGUAUCAAGUACCGCGUGGUCCACAAGUGAUCAGUGGAGAUUCUUGGAUGAAAUCCAGAUCUGUCUGCUCUUCACUCCCUCCUCGCUUCAUUUUCUCCCUUUUUAAAAGUCGGGUAAACACACGCAGGCAGAAUUUCUAGAUUGAACCUAAUUGUCUGCUCUGAAGGUCUUAUUGUCAACUUCACAAGAGUUUGCAUAGCUCGUCUCUUCCGUGCACAACUGCAAAUUCCCAUUAGCACCUCUCCUUCUUGCAUCCAUCUGUGGUUAUGAACAUUUAGUCAGGAAG
RNAcentral lists this long non-coding RNA (1329 nucleotides) under Equus asinus (donkey). RNAcentral's name for it is "lncRNA (ENSEASG00005031801.1)". The record is from RNAcentral. Lineage: Eukaryota; Metazoa; Chordata; Mammalia; Perissodactyla; Equidae.